UGGAAAAUGUGUUCAUGACGG
This 21-nucleotide microRNA is filed under the name Oryza sativa (Asian cultivated rice). RNAcentral's name for it is "osa-miR5524". The record is from miRBase by way of RNAcentral. Lineage: Eukaryota; Viridiplantae; Streptophyta; Magnoliopsida; Poales; Poaceae.